Molecule: ribosomal RNA, 372 nt
Filed under: uncultured organism
Description: bacterial SSU rRNA
Rfam family: Bacterial small subunit ribosomal RNA
Source: RNAcentral
CAGAGGUCUCAACCGUUGUUCGGAUUCAUUGGGCGUAAAGGGUGCGUAGGCGGCGGAGUAAGUCAGGUGUGAAAUCUCGGGGCUCAACCCCGAAACUGCACUUGAUACUGCUUCGCUCGAGUACUGGAGAGGAGACUGGAAUUUACGGUGUAGCAGUGAAAUGCGUAGAUAUCGUAAGGAAGACCAGUGGCGAAGGCGAGUCUCUGGACAGUUACUGACGCUGAGGCACGAAGGCCUGGGGAGCAAACGGGAUUAGAUACCCCGGUAGUCCUGGCAGUAAACGGUGCACGUUUGGUGUGGGAGGAUUCGACCCCUUCCGUGCCGGAGCUAACGCGUUAAACGUGCCGCCUGGGAAGUACGGUCGCAAGAUUA